UACGUAGGUGGCAAGCGUUGUCCGGAAUUAUUGGGCGUAAAGCGCGCGCAGGUGGUUAUGUAAGUCUGAUGUUAAAGCCCGGGGCUCAACCCCGGUUCGCAUUGGAAACUGCGUAACUUGAGUGCAGAAGAGGAAAGUGGUAUUCCACGUGUAGCGGUGAAAUGCGUAGAGAUGUGGAGGAACACCAGUGGCGAAGGCGACUUUCUGGUCUGUAACUGACACUGAGGCGCGAAAGCGUGGGGAGCAAACAGG
RNAcentral lists this ribosomal RNA (252 nucleotides) under uncultured bacterium. RNAcentral describes it as "partial 16S ribosomal RNA". It matches the Rfam family "Bacterial small subunit ribosomal RNA", at positions 524 to 776 of the family's 1533-position model. The record is from RNAcentral.